Bombyx mori (domestic silkworm) is the source of this 84-nucleotide non-coding RNA. The record is from Rfam. NCBI's taxonomy places the organism in Eukaryota, Metazoa, Arthropoda, Insecta, Lepidoptera, Bombycidae.
UUAACUGAAAUAUGUAUGGAGCUGGAACGUUUGCCUACGUUAGCCGCUAGGGGCGUUGUUCCAAAUGCAUACAGAUUUGAGUAA